Molecule: ribosomal RNA, 395 nt
Filed under: uncultured bacterium
Lineage: Bacteria
Description: bacterial SSU rRNA
Rfam family: Bacterial small subunit ribosomal RNA
Source: RNAcentral
GUGUCAGCCGCCGCGGUAAUACGUAGGGGCCGAGCGUUGUCCGGAGUUACUGGGCGUAAAGCGCGCGCAGGCGGCUCGUCAAGCCUGACGUGAAAGCCCCCGGCUCAACCGGGGAGGGUCGUCGGGGACUGGCGAGCUUGAGGUCGGCAGGGGUUGGUGGAAUUCCCGGUGUAGUGGUGAAAUGCGUAGAGAUCGGGAGGAACACCCGUGGCGAAGGCGGCCAACUGGGCCGGACCUGACGCUGAGGCGCGAAGGCGUGGGGAGCGAACGGGAUUAGAUACCCCGGUAGUCCACGCAGUAAACGAUGCAGACUAGGCGUGGGGGGACUUGACCCCCUCCGUGCCGCAGCCAACGCGUGAAGUCUGCCGCCUGGGGAGUACGGCCGCAAGGCUAAA